ACAAAGAUCUCAAAUUGAAAAUGAUCUCACUAUCAAAGAACCAAAAAAUACAACUAACUAACAAGAAAAAUACUAAGUCCACAUAUUAAUAGCAGCAGCGUGUCACGAAAUCAGGUCAGCCAAAAAUGCGCUGUCUUCGAACCAAUCUCGAUUUGGUUUAAAACACUGAUUACCUGGCAAAGUAAAGGAGUUCACUGAUUCGCUACCAGAAAUAAAUGAGUUGAGAUCAGUUGGUGCAAACUGGUUGAAUUCUCCAUUAUAUGCCGCAGAAAAUGUAUCCAUCAAUUCACAACCAGGGGUUAAUGAGUUCACCGCCGGUGUAGACGAUUGAAAAUCUUGAUCUGUGUCGGUUAAUCCACUGCACGGAUUGAGCNN
This 375-nucleotide long non-coding RNA is filed under the name Olea europaea (common olive). Its description in RNAcentral is "long non-coding RNA (OEUR_LNC004891)". The record is from RNAcentral. Lineage: Eukaryota; Viridiplantae; Streptophyta; Magnoliopsida; Lamiales; Oleaceae.